UUUUAAGGUUCUAAGAUAUUAUAAACCAAAGAAUCUGUGAUGCUCAGAUUCACACAUCUUUCCUUUUGUUGUCUCAGCAUCUGUCGAGGGCAUCUACAUCCAUGCUGAGGAGCUGGCAGUCUGAUGGAAGAGGCAGGACAGGGACCCUCUGCUGUCAUGCGAACUGCAUGUUUGCUGGCGUACAGAAUUCACGUCAGCAGGAGCACAGUCUAGACACUGCUCAGCCUGGAUGAAGCCUACAGAAUUGACGCCAGAGGCCAGACGGAGACGAAGCAGUAACUGUCAUGCCUUCUCUGUGCACCCAGCAGUGCCACCACCCGCCCUCUGCUGCUGUAGGUACGAUAUUGGGUGGCACUUGCCCACAAGCACCUCAAAGGCAGAGACGGCCCUGUAACCUCUGUGUUCUUUUUUUAAUGUUAACGUUCAAUAAAGGCAAUGGUACAGUAUUCCUGUGAGUGACUUUUCUUCCUCCCCCACCCCCUCUCAUUCCCCCAGUUCCCCAGCUAGGGCCAGGCCUGGGGAUGCCGAGAGGGAGCUGGGAGGGCAGCGCACCAACCUCAGCUUCUUCAGGCCGGCCCCGGGCUCCAAGGGGCAAUCCCCAUCCCCGGCCCAGAGCCGGGGACAGAACCUCUAGACCAGCCGGCUCUGACCUCAGGGCCCCUCUGCCCCUCUACUCCUCACCUCCAGACAGCUGCCCUCCCACCCCAGGGGAGGCCAGCAGGUCCUUCAAUGGCUGGGGAAACUCACAGAUCACAGACUCAGUGGCAUCUGAGCAUUUCAGAGCUGCUGGUCUUAGAAUUUGUGAUUCAUUACUUAUUUAUUUCCCUAACAGAGAAAUAUUAACUCAUUUCAUCCUUGCAUUGACUCCAUGGAGCAUUAAGGACACUGAGGCACAGAGAGGUGAAGUAAAUUGGCCAAAGUCACGCAGCUAGCAAGCGACAGACCCAGGAUUCGGACCCAGACAGCCCGCCUCCAGGCUCUAGGCUGCUCUCCCCCAAGCCACUGGAAUUGCCUACCUACCGCUGCCCCGCUCUCUGCUCCGUGCCCUUUCCUCUCUCUUCCAGGGGGAGGGGUGGAGGAGGAGACCUGGCUGGCGGGGAAGGCAGGCUACCCCAGACCCCUCCCCACACAUACGGACGUCAAACCUGGGGACCCUUGGCAAGACCUCAUAAACCAAGAAAUCAAGAUGGCCUUUGCCCAAGCCCACCAGUGCCCAGCCAGGCCCUGGAGCUUGGGGAAGGCCUCGGCUGGACCCUGAGGAGAGGGACAGGGUGGGGCAGGGGCCUGUGCCAGCCAGACUCUUGCGCCUGCACACCCUCAACCCCUCCCCGCUCCAUUCCCCUCAAAGAAUCCUCUCGCUGAGCUCCUCAAGCCAACUGGGUGCUCAUUAGCAAGUGCGCUGGAGCGACAGUAAUGGAUGCGUUCCGGUAUGACUCCUAGGGGCAAACUUGCCUCUUGACGCAAAAACAAUAAAAAUAGAAAUAUUCCACCCCUCUCAUGCAGCGCUUUGCUCUUGACAAAUCAUUUUGACUCUGAGAGCUCCUUGUUAUAAAGCUCAUUGUUCCUGGCGUCAAGAACACAGC
Equus caballus (horse) is the source of this 1583-nucleotide long non-coding RNA. The record is from Ensembl. Lineage: Eukaryota; Metazoa; Chordata; Mammalia; Perissodactyla; Equidae.